RNAcentral lists this ribosomal RNA (350 nucleotides) under uncultured bacterium. Its description in RNAcentral is "bacterial SSU rRNA". It matches the Rfam family "Bacterial small subunit ribosomal RNA", at positions 1 to 334 of the family's 1533-position model. The record is from RNAcentral.
ACACGUGAUUCAGAGUUUGAUCCUGGCUCAGGAUGAACGCUGGCGGCGUGCCUAACACAUGCAAGUCGAGCGGAGUUAACAGAAGAUUCUUCGGAUGAUUUUGUUAACUUAGCGGCGGAUGGGUGAGUAACACGUGGGUAAUCUGCCCUGCACAGGGGGAUAACAGCUGGAAACGGCUGUUAAUACCGCAUAUGCACACGUUAUCGCAUGAUAGAGUGUGGAAAGAUUUAUCGGUGCAGGAUGAGCCCGCGUCGGAUUAACUAGUUGGCAGGGUAACGGCCUACCAAGGUGAUGAUCCGUAGCCGGCCUGAGAGGGCGACCGGCCACAUUGGGACUGAGACACGGCCCAA